Beta vulgaris subsp. vulgaris (sugar beet) is the source of this 94-nucleotide non-coding RNA. The record is from Rfam. Lineage: Eukaryota; Viridiplantae; Streptophyta; Magnoliopsida; Caryophyllales; Amaranthaceae.
GAGCUGUGAUGAUAAUAUUGCGCCUCUAUGUGGCAGAUUGGGUCCGCCACCAAACGUCUGAUUCCUCGGACGAAGCUAGAUCGCAUCUGAGCUU